AACAACUCUAGUUGUCCAGUGUUUGAUUUGUAAAACUGUUUCAGGUAGAGGACAAACUGGAGGCAAGGGACAGGACAA
Molecule: microRNA precursor, 78 nt
Organism: Medicago truncatula (barrel medic)
Lineage: Eukaryota; Viridiplantae; Streptophyta; Magnoliopsida; Fabales; Fabaceae
Rfam family: MIR5286 microRNA precursor family
Source: Rfam